RNAcentral lists this long non-coding RNA (608 nucleotides) under Elaeis guineensis (African oil palm). RNAcentral describes it as "long non-coding RNA (EGUI_LNC025907)". Lineage: Eukaryota; Viridiplantae; Streptophyta; Magnoliopsida; Arecales; Arecaceae. The record is from RNAcentral.
AAUAAUGUAAUUGUGAGAAGGACAUCUUUAGACCUACAUCGAUUAUGAGUCAAGAGGAAGUAUGAUUUAUAUAGAUUGAAACAUUCUCUCCCACGUGAGGCAUCUUUUAAAGGACAAAACUAUGAAGCUCUAAAUGACCAAGACCCAUUGAAACCUAAGGUUCAUUGAAACCUAAAGAUGGUUAUGAGCCAAAGCGAGCAAUACCUAACGUAUACGGGCACUGAGUCAACCCAACCAUCCAAGCUAUUCGAUUCCUUGAUUUAUGACCGCAAUAUUGGCACUGUCUGUGAAAAAAAUCUCAUACCCACACGCAUAUACUCUCCCUUGACUGGGGGCAAUGUUGUAGUUGUGGGAAGGACAUCUUUAGUCUAAUAUCGGUUAAGAAUCAAGAGAGAGUAUGGCUUACAUGGAUUGAAAUCUUCUCUCUCAAAUGAGGUACCUUUUAAAGGACAAAACUGUGAGGCUCUAAAUGACCACAACCCACUGAAAUCUAAAGAUGGUCAUGAGCUAAAGUGGACAAUACCUCACGUAUGCGGAUAUGAAGUUAACUCAACUAUCCGAGCUAUUCGAUCGCUUGAUCCAUGACCGCAACUAUAAGAAAUAACAAA